RNAcentral lists this long non-coding RNA (2883 nucleotides) under Nicotiana tabacum (common tobacco). RNAcentral describes it as "long non-coding RNA (NTAB_LNC007176)". The record is from RNAcentral. Lineage: Eukaryota; Viridiplantae; Streptophyta; Magnoliopsida; Solanales; Solanaceae.
CAAUGGCUUCAUUUGCCUUAUCCUUAGGCGGCACCUGCUUAAGAAAGGGCUUGGAAUUGGCACUGCAACAUAACCUUUUGCCACUAGAAAUAGAAACUGACUCGACACAUGUAAUUAAACUUUUGGAAGAUGGCCUCACCACUUGCAACUCUAUCUUUCAGAUGGUUGAUGUCCAAGAAGGGGAGGGAGCUGGUGCUCCGGCAUAACUUUCGACGAGGAACGAAGUAGCUCACAUGUUGGCGCAGGAAGGAACUAGGCAACCCGAUCCAGAUAACUUAAUGUGUUUUGUAGUCCCGCACCAUUAUUGAGUCCAGGAUGCUGGCGGACAAGGAGGGUUUCUCUUCUACUAAUAAGUUAGUCGUUGAAAGUAUCUUUAAGGAGCUUGCUAAACUAGGAAAUCUGAAUGUCAUGGAAGGCAUCUCAGUUGUAUAUAACAAUCCCAUGGAUCCUACGUUCGUAGUAUUAAUGAAUAAAUUAUUCCAGUUUCUCCAAAAAAAAAGAAGAUUAGGUCCUAUAUGGUUUCAAACAUAAGCACAAAUCCUUAAAGUGGACUCCAAAUCCGAACUCCAAUUUGGCCCGUUUAGGCCCAAUUUGAAAGUACGCAAGAGUUUCUCGACUUUCUUCGACCAAGUUCGUGAACCUUCUCCUCUGUGGAGAACUCACUCGGAAUCUCUUUCUCCCGCGAAUUGCAGUUGUACGUUUCCUUCUUUGCACUAAUUUUUACAAGUUAUUGUGCAUCUUUAUUUGCUUCUAUGGUAAUGGCUUCUAAGUUGUGAGAUGUAUAAUCUAGCUUUUCAGUCUUAGUUAUCAGUUGUGAAUAUUUCUCUAAGACAAGGGAAACAGAGAGUUAGGAAACAAACAAUUGAUAAUCAAAAGAACUUAUUUCUAAGACAACCUCCAGUCGUAGUUUGGGUGAAAGUUGUAAAAUUCAAUGUCAUUCUAUUCCAAACAACUGAUUCUAUAUAAGAAUCGUACAGGAUUGAGUUAAGGUACCUAGUGAGAUAAAAUACUUCUAUCCAUAAGGUCUAUUGAGUUAAAGUUAGGUCAUUAGAGAACUUUAUAUUCCAUAUUGAUAAUAAUGAUAAGUUUUUUCGAAGACUCUUAACCAAAUCUUUUUGUAUGAUAAAACUUGUUUCUAUAACGAAUACUACAAUCUCAAUGUACAUUGAUAAUAACUGAAACUCUAUUACAAUUACUAGUAGCCUAACGCUCAAAUUAUAGGAUAACUAUGGAAAUACUGAAUAUAGACAACUAUGGAUGUACGAGAAGACACACAGGUAGAAGAACGGAGACGAGAAGCUUAGACUCAGAGAAAGGGGUUGAGGGGAACAGACAUUUUUCUUUAACAAUUUGUCUACCCCCAAAAUCUCAGACCACCGCCCCUUUUGGCAGAACCGUUACACCCACCACUCCACCUGCAUCCCAAAUUAACCUGGCCUAGAGCCCAUUUAGAUUGGCUUAAAAAAUGGCUUUUAAGUACAAGUACUUAAAAGCAGCUUUUAAGUGUUGGAGCUUAUUUUAUAAAUAAGCAGUUACAUAUUUGGAUAAAAAUGUUGAAGCUUAAAAAAAGUUGUUGAAGUGUUUGGCAAAUUAAUGUUGGUAAGCACUUUUUCUUAUUAAAAAGACAAAACUAUCUUUAAAACUGUUAACAUUACGGUGAUAUGAUACAUCACUUUAUUUUUAAUUAGAGGUAGAGUGUAAAAAAAUAUAAAAAUAAUUGAAAGAAAACACUUUCUCUUUUAAUUGGUUUUGUCUAAUCUGGAGCGUAAAUCCAAAUUCAUUAGAAUCCGAAUAUUGUUGUAAAAUAACAGUUAAAAAAUCAAAAAAGAAAGAAAAGAUGGGAGUAUUAUACUUAAUUAUUAGAAUCCGAAUAUUGUUGUUUUGCUUGUUUUGGAUGCACACAAAAUAUAUUUAAUUUCCCCGAUUGAGGAAAUAAUGUAGCUAACGAGAUCGUGAUAUUGGUUUUGCUUUUUCAGCUUUAGAAAGGAAGAUGGAGUUUCCUAAUGAAGAAUUUGAGUCAUCUAAUUCUCAGAGAAAAUCAGGAAGAGGAAAGAUGAAGAGGAAAGAAGAGAGCGGAAGAGUGAAUGAAAUAGGAGUAGAAUGUUUUAGGGUUUUUUUGACUGAAGGUAAUUUUGGUAUUAUAAAAACUUAUAAGGGACAAGAGAGUAAUUUCAUUGGUCAAACUAAAAUGGCUUUUAAGCAAAAAUAAAAAAAGUUGGGGUAAGCCAACUUGUUGCUUUUAACUUUUUUAAGCAGUUUUUUUUUGCCAAUCACUCCAUUAAUAAAAAAAGUGCUUACCAGCUUUUAAGCCCAUCCAAAUACCCUCCUAGUUGUUUGUUCUCGGCCCAGUACCUCUUCUCAGUCCAGUAUCAACUUGUGUGACAUUGGACUGGGACUGAUUCAUAAUAGUUUCUGACCUAAAAAUUGACCACCACAUUUAUUUAUUUAUUUAUUUAUUUGAUGAUAGAUAAAUUUGUCGGGGCAACGCUUAGGUCUAACUGCAUUGUUUGAACCUCGGGGAUAAUGAGUCCGCACCUUUACCCUGCUCCACUUAAAUACCAUAUUAGACUUAGUUCGCAUGGAUCGAACUUUGACUUGAGUAACAAGUCCCUCAACCUUUGCCACUUGAACUAAGCUUAUUUAUUUGUUUUUGAAGAAGAAUAAAAAUUUGACCACUUACUGAACUAGAAAGAAACUGGAAGAAGGGGAAAUGGGAAAAAUUCAGCUGUUUGAUCAGUCUAUAUACCAGCAGCCUGCUCUAGAAAGAAUAAUAAAUACUUCAGUGUGUUGGUAUCUAAGACAUGCCUGAUUGUACACAUUGAUGCACUACUUAGUUUGAAGUGUCUAUUGUCACAUUACAGGUAAUUGUAUUGGGAAAAAUUG